UAUAAAGAGAGAAGUCACUUGAGCCCUCCACACACUCAGGAUAAAACUCCUUCUGCUGGUUGCUCUGCUCACAGCAGGUGCUACUGCACACAGCAUCAGCCGUCGGUCUUUGUGGCAGUUCAACAAUGUGAUCAAGUGCACCAUCCCUGCCAGUCAUCCCUUGUUGGAAUACAGCAACUAUGGCUGCUACUGUGGUUUUGGGGGCUCAGACACUCCGGUGGAUGAGUUAGACAGGUGCUGCCAGACUCACGACAAUUGCUAUGAUCAGGUCAUGAAGAUGGAAAACUGCAAAUCCCUCAUAGACAACCCCUACACCACCUCCUACUCAUACUCAUGCUCUGGGACUGAGAUCACCUGCAGUGACGAAAACGACCCCUGUGAGGCCUUCAUCUGCAACUGUGACCGUGAGGCCGCCAUCUGCUUCUCCCAGGCUCCAUACAACAAGGAGAACAAAGGCAUUGCGUGUUAGACUUGUCACCUCAGUUACUGGGACACCAUCCCUGCCUGCCUGUUUGUGGUCACUACUCACUGCACCC
Molecule: non-coding RNA, 536 nt
Organism: Peromyscus maniculatus bairdii (prairie deer mouse)
Lineage: Eukaryota; Metazoa; Chordata; Mammalia; Rodentia; Cricetidae
Source: RefSeq, a predicted model, not a curated record